UAAAUAAAACCUUAGAAAGGGAAAAGUGAUGUGAGAAAAAUAGAGCAGUUUAGAGAAGAGUUGUAUACAUUUGCAAUUUUUAGAUGAUGCAGAGCUUUUUGAGAAGUUGAAAUUUGAGAAAAGGCCUGAAGGAGCUGAGGAGGUGGGUGAGUCAUGAAUGCAUCUCGGGAAGGAGUUCCCCAGGCUGAGGGAGCUGCACCUGAGGAAACCCAGGAGGCAAAGGUGGUCCUGGUCAGGAUGAUGAGGAGGUCCGUGUGGCUGGAGCAGGUGAGCUAGGUGGAGAGAGGCCGUAGAUGAGGGCAGAGCUGCUGCGGGAGCCAAACGUGUAAGGAUCUUUUCGGGCAGUGAGAGGACGUUGGUUUCUCACAGCAGAGAAGGGACAUCAUCUGACAUAUUUUAAAAGUAUCUCUCCGGCUCCCUUGUGGACUGUAAGGGACCAAGAGUUGAAACAGGCACCCAGGAGGAGUCCUUCCAGCAACUGAGAGGACUUGGUCCGAUUCUACCUCCGGAACAAUGCUCAGCCCACAGCCCUCAUUCCCUCCGUGAUGAACAGUAACUGUGGACUUUUGACCUUCCUCUUGAGCUUGGUCUGAGUCUUGGCAUUUACAACCACGGCUCUAGUUGCAACUCACCCAUGCUCAAUGUGGGACAUUUUGUAAGACAACUGGCCUGGACACAUGUAAAAAAGUCACUAUCAUUAAAAUAAAAGCCCCCUAGGUCAUUUAUUUACUCCAGAUGGGAAACGUUUGCUGCGGGAGACUCAAAGGAGACACUGAGUGCAAGGAUUUGGGUGAGGUGUCAGAGUGGGUGGCAUUCCAAACCCUAUUGGGCUGGUGGGCCCCUAACAGGACAGGACUUGGAGUGAAAGGAUGGCGGAUGACUCACGAUUUUACGAGACACUUCCAGGACAAGGAGAAGGCAAAGGAGAGAUGCAGCCUUGGAGAGCCUAAUUCCUCUCUGGAGUGCGUGCUUUUCCCUGAUGUCAAGAUUCUAAAUUAUUCCACUGUUUACCUGCUGCGUGACUUGACAAAAGGGUAAUGUGAUUUAGAAACUCAGCGGUCAUCCAGAAAGUCUAUUUUCAGCCAGGCGGUUACCAGGCAAUGUCAGGGGAUUGGACUCUGCUAUGUUAAAUCCCAAAUUUAAUCCAGGAGCUGAUGUGUCUGUGAAUAUCAGAAAAGCACAACAGCCUUUUGCGUGGGUCGUAUCAAUUCCAUACAGUAUUUUCCUUGCGGAAGUAAGAAUUAACACAUCCAGAAAGCUAGGCUUAGCACCUUUGGAUCUCCUGAUGAAAAUUUCAGCAUAUUGUUAGGAUGUGAGCAUUUAUAUACAUACCCUGCUCUGCCUGCUACACAAGACAGAAAAAUAAAAAAUUACCCUGGAAGAAUAACUUAGAUCUUGGAGAAAAGAAGAAUGCAGGUGGCAAUAUAUAAAGAAUUCCCUGAAGAUACAGUUUGCAGCCUUUUCCUUUGUUUUAAAAAGUCUUUUGUUUUGCUGCAGCAAUAGAAAUAAAAUAUAAACAUAAUUUGAAAGUAAGAGGAGAAGCAGAAAGAUAGUCUUUGUUCAUAGGUUUGUCUGUUUUGGAGACGGUAAUCAUAAUGACAAACCCAAGGACAACUAAUAUUUAUUGAGUGCCUACUGUGUGCCAGGCAUAAUAAGCACUUUAUACCCUUAACUAAUUUAAUCCCUGUGACAAACCUAUUAGGAAGCUGCUAUUAUUAUCCUCAUUUUAAGGGAGCUGAGGCCCAGAGAAAUUAAACAACUUGUGCAAGGUCACAUGGCCAGUAAUUAACAGAGAUAAUAUUCAAACUGUCUCUUGAGGUAAGCUAAAUAAAACUCUAUCCUAUUUUUUGUAGAGCCAUAUAUCUUUAUUCUCUCCUUUCACUAUGGUAAAGUUUGUUCUGGUCCCUCUGUAGGAUUACAAUAUGUUGAAAAUGCGGGUCCCACGUAAUUCUACCAAGUCAGAUCACUAAGUAGCCUUGUCAGGGGAGGGGUUCCCAAUUCGUGACUCUGGACCUUGGGGCAUCAAUGAUUUAUUGUUAUCACUAACAAUAGCUCGCUAUGUGUCAUGUCUUCUGCUACAUAUUUUAUGUUUUAUUUCAGCUUUUAAAAAGAUUUUCAUGAUUCAUGAUUGUUGUAAAGCAGGACUAGGCUGUAUGUACAUAUUUGAAAUGAAAGUUUCACAAAACAUCAUUUACCUUUACUAUGUGUGACACACUUUGCUAUUUUUCAUUUAAUCUAUUUUAUUUAAACAUGCUGACUGUGGCCGAGUGCAGUAGCUCACGCCUGUAAUCCCAGCACUUUGGGAGGCUGAGGCGGGUGCAUCACCUGAGGUCUGAAGUUCGAGAUCAGCCUGGCCAACAUGGUGAAACCCUGUCUCUACUAAAAAUAAAAAAUUAGCCGGGUGUGGUGGCACGCACCUGUAGUCCCAGCUACUUGGGAGGCUGAGGCAGGAGAAUCGCUUGAACCCAGGGGGCAGACUUUGCAGUGAACCAAGAUGGUGCCACUGCACUCCAGCCUGGGAGCCAAGAGCAAAACUCUGUCUCAAAAAAAA
RNAcentral lists this long non-coding RNA (2551 nucleotides) under Homo sapiens (human). Its description in RNAcentral is "HSALNT0088889". Lineage: Eukaryota; Metazoa; Chordata; Mammalia; Primates; Hominidae. The record is from RNAcentral.